This is a long non-coding RNA of Ziziphus jujuba (common jujube), 609 nucleotides long. RefSeq lists it as uncharacterized. NCBI's taxonomy places the organism in Eukaryota, Viridiplantae, Streptophyta, Magnoliopsida, Rosales, Rhamnaceae. The transcript has 4 exons. The record is from RefSeq and is a predicted model, not a curated record.
AGCUACUUUUCUCUUGAAUGGGGCACAAAGAAAAGAGGGAGAAAAAGUGAGAGAGAAUGGCGCAGCAGCUACUAGAGAGUUCGUCAAGAGGAGGGACUAGUGGAGAAAGCAUCCUAGGCUUAGCAAUAAGCUCCACCAUGCCCUUCCCGGUCUUGGCCCUUGGAGUUGACACCUUCGACAUCUACAUGGUCGACGAGCAGCAACUAACUAUACCAUUUAAAAGAUCAAAUUCAUUAGCAUCAUCGUCGAUUUUUUGUGCACUCUCUGACUUUGAAUCUACGAGACUGAAAAUGAUGCUAAAUCUGGUAAAAUCUCGCACUGAGCAAUGAGUUACAGAAGGUUACAAAGUAUUUUGAUGCUACCAUUGCAAAGGGACCAGAUGUGAAAUCGGCUGCCAACUGGAUUAUGGGUGAUAUUGCUGCCUAUAUGAAAAAUAAAAAGUUGACUAUUGAUGAGAUUAAGCUGACGCCUCAGGUUGGCUGAGUUGAUAGCUUUAAUACAAGCUGGUAUUAUUAGUGGGAAAAUUGGAAAAGAGAUAUUGUUUAAGCUAUUGGUUAAAGGUGGAACUGUCAAGGGACUCAUAGACGAAAAGGAUUUGGUUCAGGCAAG